Molecule: ribosomal RNA, 497 nt
Filed under: uncultured bacterium
Lineage: Bacteria
Description: partial 16S ribosomal RNA
Rfam family: Bacterial small subunit ribosomal RNA
Source: RNAcentral
GAUGAACGCUGGCGGCGUGCCUAAUACAUGCAAGUCGAGCGAACAGACGAGGAGCUUGCUCCUCUGACGUUAGCGGCGGACGGGUGAGUAACACGUGGAUAACCUACCUAUAAGACUGGGAUAACUUCGGGAAACCGGAGCUAAUACCGGAUAAUAUAUUGAACCGCAUGGUUCAAUAGUGAAAGACGGUUUUGCUGUCACUUAUAGAUGGAUCCGCGCCGCAUUAGCUAGUUGGUAAGGUAACGGCUUACCAAGGCAACGAUGCGUAGCCGACCUGAGGGGGUGAUCGGCCACACUGGAACUGGGACACGGUCCAGACUCCGACGGGAGGCAGCAGUAGGGAAUCUUCCGCAAUGGGCGAAAGCUUGACGGAGCAACGCCGCGUGAGUGAUGAAGGUCUUCGGAUCGUAAAACUCUGUUAUUAGGGAAGAACAAAUGUGUAAGUAACUAUGCACGUCUUGACGGUACCUAAUCAGAAAGCCACGGCUAACUACGUG